This 2239-nucleotide ribosomal RNA is filed under the name Salmonella enterica. RNAcentral describes it as "partial 23S ribosomal RNA". It matches the Rfam family "Bacterial large subunit ribosomal RNA", at positions 711 to 2925 of the family's 2925-position model. The record is from RNAcentral. Lineage: Bacteria; Pseudomonadati; Pseudomonadota; Gammaproteobacteria; Enterobacterales; Enterobacteriaceae. RNAcentral also lists the same sequence under 5 other names.
AGACCCGAAACCCGGUGAUCUAGCCAUGGGCAGGUUGAAGGUUGGGUAACACUAACUGGAGGACCGAACCGACUAAUGUUGAAAAAUUAGCGGAUGACCUGUGGCUGGGGGUGAAAGGCCAAUCAAACCGGGAGAUAGCUGGUUCUCCCCGAAAGCUAUUUAGGUAGCGCCUCGUGAAUUCAUCUCCGGGGGUAGAGCACUGUUUCGGCUAGGGGGCCAUCCCGGCUUACCAACCCGAUGCAAACUGCGAAUACCGGAGAAUGUUAUCACGGGAGACACACGGCGGGUGCUAACGUCCGUCGUGAAGAGGGAAACAACCCAGACCGCCAGCUAAGGUCCCAAAGUCAUGGUUAAGUGGGAAACGAUGUGGGAAGGCCCAGACAGCCAGGAUGUUGGCUUAGAAGCAGCCAUCAUUUAAAGAAAGCGUAAUAGCUCACUGGUCGAGUCGGCCUGCGCGGAAGAUGUAACGGGGCUAAACCAUGCACCGAAGCUGCGGCAGCGACGCUGAUGCGUUGUUGGGUAGGGGAGCGUUCUGUAAGCCUGCGAAGGUGGCCUGUGAGGGUUGCUGGAGGUAUCAGAAGUGCGAAUGCUGACAUAAGUAACGAUAAAGCGGGUGAAAAGCCCGCUCGCCGGAAGACCAAGGGUUCCUGUCCAACGUUAAUCGGGGCAGGGUGAGUCGACCCCUAAGGCGAGGCCGAAAGGCGUAGUCGAUGGGAAACGGGUUAAUAUUCCCGUACUUGGUGUUACUGCGAAGGGGGGACGGAGAAGGCUAUGUUGGCCGGGCGACGGUUGUCCCGGUUUAAGCGUGUAGGUGUGUGUUCCAGGUAAAUCCGGUUCACUUUAACACUGAGGCGUGAUGACGAGGCACUACGGUGCUGAAGCAACAAAUGCCCUGCUUCCAGGAAAAGCCUCUAAGCAUCAGGUAACAUCAAAUCGUACCCCAAACCGACACAGGUGGUCAGGUAGAGAAUACCAAGGCGCUUGAGAGAACUCGGGUGAAGGAACUAGGCAAAAUGGUGCCGUAACUUCGGGAGAAGGCACGCUGACACGUAGGUGAAGUGAUUUACUCAUGGAGCUGAAGUCAGUCGAAGAUACCAGCUGGCUGCAACUGUUUAUUAAAAACACAGCACUGUGCAAACACGAAAGUGGACGUAUACGGUGUGACGCCUGCCCGGUGCCGGAAGGUUAAUUGAUGGGGUCAGCGCAAGCGAAGCUCCUGAUCGAAGCCCCGGUAAACGGCGGCCGUAACUAUAACGGUCCUAAGGUAGCGAAAUUCCUUGUCGGGUAAGUUCCGACCUGCACGAAUGGCGUAAUGAUGGCCAGGCUGUCUCCACCCGAGACUCAGUGAAAUUGAACUCGCUGUGAAGAUGCAGUGUACCCGCGGCAAGACGGAAAGACCCCGUGAACCUUUACUAUAGCUUGACACUGAACAUUGAGCCUUGAUGUGUAGGAUAGGUGGGAGGCUUUGAAGUGUGGACGCCAGUCUGCAUGGAGCCGGCCUUGAAAUACCACCCUUUAAUGUUUGAUGUUCUAACGUGGACCCGUGAUCCGGGUUGCGGACAGUGUCUGGUGGGUAGUUUGACUGGGGCGGUCUCCUCCUAAAGAGUAACGGAGGAGCACGAAGGUUGGCUAAUCCUGGUCGGACAUCAGGAGGUUAGUGCAAUGGCAUAAGCCAGCUUGACUGCGAGCGUGACGGCGCGAGCAGGUGCGAAAGCAGGUCAUAGUGAUCCGGUGGUUCUGAAUGGAAGGGCCAUCGCUCAACGGAUAAAAGGUACUCCGGGGAUAACAGGCUGAUACCGCCCAAGAGUUCAUAUCGACGGCGGUGUUUGGCACCUCGAUGUCGGCUCAUCACAUCCUGGGGCUGAAGUAGGUCCCAAGGGUAUGGCUGUUCGCCAUUUAAAGUGGUACGCGAGCUGGGUUUAGAACGUCGUGAGACAGUUCGGUCCCUAUCUGCCGUGGGCGCUGGAGAACUGAGGGGGGCUGCUCCUAGUACGAGAGGACCGGAGUGGACGCAUCACUGGUGUUCGGGUUGUCAUGCCAAUGGCACUGCCCGGUAGCUAAAUGCGGAAGAGAUAAGUGCUGAAAGCAUCUAAGCACGAAACUUGCCCCGAGAUGAGUUCUCCCUGAGACUUAGAGUCUCCUGAAGGAACGUUGAAGACGACGACGUUGAUAGGCCGGGUGUGUAAGCGCAGCGAUGCGUUGAGCUAACCGGUACUAAUGAACCGUGAGGCUUAACCUU